Molecule: long non-coding RNA, 445 nt
Organism: Trichomycterus rosablanca
Lineage: Eukaryota; Metazoa; Chordata; Actinopteri; Siluriformes; Trichomycteridae
Exons: 3
Source: RefSeq, a predicted model, not a curated record
AGAAAAAAGAAAAGAAAGGUGAAGUAUUCCACAAGUGACUGCUCCCCAACCAAGCCAACAAUUAUACUCCUCUAGGUACCUUCUACACAUCAAAGUCCCGGACCAGCACAGACCCCGCCUACACCCGGAUCAUCUCCACACAACAGGAUCAAGUGACUUGGACAAAACCAAGAACAUGGACAGGGAUGACUAGAAUGAGACUGACCCAGAGACAGACAGGAGUGGGAAGCAGUUAAGAAGUUGAUAGACUUAUCAGACUGAACUGGUGGAUGUUAAUGUGGUAGUUGUGUGUAUUAAGUGUAUGUUGAUGUGUAUAGAUUUGUGCAUAAAUGUGUGGGUAUGUUUCCAGUUUUACAAGGCAGAAAAGAAACAGAGCAGACUCUUUCCAGCUUAGCAGUGAUGAGUGGGGGUAAAUUAUUUAGCUAUAAUGUGCUGGAUGGACUUC